Phacochoerus africanus (Common warthog) is the source of this 1264-nucleotide long non-coding RNA. RefSeq lists it as uncharacterized. The record is from RefSeq and is a predicted model, not a curated record. The transcript has 3 exons. NCBI's taxonomy places the organism in Eukaryota, Metazoa, Chordata, Mammalia, Artiodactyla, Suidae.
ACUAGGCGAGCGGAGGAGGGAAGGAAGGAGGCCGAGCGCCCGGGAAGGGCCAGGGCGCGAGCAGGGCUUGGAGAGUCGCGGGCCACUACCUCCCCACCUCCUUUCCCCUUGGGCGCCCCGCCCUCCCGGCCGGACCGGCGGUGCACGCAGCCAAUCAGCGCGCGGGGUGAUCGGGGUGUGAGCCGCGCGUCGGGGGCCUCGAAUCGGAAGGGAGACGUCGCUCGCUGAUUGGUCCCGCCUCCCCCGUAGAGCGUGAGGCGAGGCGCGGCCGGGCGGGCUGCCGGGCGGCGGCGGACGAGGCGGGGUGGGACGCUCGCUGUUUCGGUUGGCUUCGUCCCCGGCGCGCUCCCCCGAGAGGCUCUGGGAAGGAGAAGGGAAGGCUCAUAACCUGCUGCGCUGCGCUGGCGCCCACUCGUCCGUCAUUACCUCGGCCCAGCUCCCCGGCCAGCGCCAUUGGGUGGGGCCUAUCCGGGGCCAACGCCUGGCCAACCCACCGUAGUCAACCCAGGCACUGUUUUUAGGCCCAGCCUCGCACGUCCGUACCACGAGCCUCUAAGCUGCUGGCUGCCCAAAGCUGGUGGAGUUUUAACCACGCUCGGGUAACUUUGUCGCUUUUAUCUUAUGGAUACUCAAGCCUAUGCUGAAAUAUUAAAGCCAGCUAAUCACAUCAACCAUAUAAUUGUAAAUUCCUGAAGGACAAGGACGGCAAGCAUCUUGUUCCCAGUUGUUUCCCCGUAGCCGAAGAUAAAAAAAAUACCAUAAUUGAAGAAAUGUGAAAUACAUUUGUGUAGUACAAGAAGGCUGUAUGUGUGGCAAAGGUCUGCAGGCAUUCUACACAGCUUGGCCCCAUCCUUGUAGUUGCCCUCAGUACAGCUAUUGAGUAUCUUGUCAACAUCUGAUCUCUAUAUUUACUCAUCCUCGUGGAACUAACUUGCAGUGAGCAUUACUGGAUCUUAAAAAUCCAGCAACUGAAAAGACACUGAUUAAAUGAGAUAACCUAGGUAAAAAUGAUAAAGAAUGAAUGUGUAGGGUUACUUUUGUUGUAAAUGAUAAUGAAGAAACCCAACACCAGCUGGAUUUUUAUCUCAUCACAGUGAAAUUUCAUGUUUAAAAUGAACUUAUGUUGAAGUUGUGUGCACCUGCCUCUACAAACACACACAGUCUUCAUUCACAUGCUAAUUUUUAGUAAAAAUGAAAACAUUUAAUAUCUAAUGGGAAAUGCUAAAGACAAGAAUAAAGCAUAUACAAGAAAAAAACAAUUUCA